UAACAAAGGCGGCUUGUUGCUUUGUUUUUUUCUUACGAUUAAACAAAGAGGAAAGUCCGGACACCAUAGGGCAGCAUAGCGGCUAACCGCCGUCCACAGCGAUGUGAGGACUAGUGCAACAGAAAGCAAGUACAGUACGGCUGUAGUGAAAUCAGGUAAACUCUAUGCGGUGCAAUGCUAAGUAUAUCGGCAACUAAGGGUAGCUCGUCCAAUGCCGAGGGGUAAGCAGCUAAAGCUUAAUAGCAAUAUUAAGCAUAGAUAAAUAACAGGCGUUCUUAAAUUUGUUUAGAAUACAGAAUCCGGCUUAUAGCCUUUGUUAUUUU
RNAcentral lists this RNase P RNA (323 nucleotides) under Riemerella anatipestifer. RNAcentral describes it as "RNase P RNA component class A". It matches the Rfam family "Bacterial RNase P class A". From Rfam's summary of the family: Ribonuclease P (RNase P) is a ubiquitous endoribonuclease, found in archaea, bacteria and eukarya as well as chloroplasts and mitochondria. Its best characterised activity is the generation of mature 5'-ends of tRNAs by cleaving the 5'-leader elements of precursor-tRNAs. Lineage: Bacteria; Pseudomonadati; Bacteroidota; Flavobacteriia; Flavobacteriales; Weeksellaceae. The record is from RNAcentral.